UUGGCCUUAACAUCGUUAAAGGAGGUAAGUUAAACAUGAUCCUAGAUUUUUCUUCUUAUUGCCAUUUUUUUGGUCUCUCGAACAAUACAGGAAAAUUGAAAGAAAUUUGAGAGCUUAUCAACUUGUUGUUUCUCUUUCUUUUUUCCCCUCUUCUGCUUCAUAUUUUCCCCCCAAUUUUCUCAGCUGCCAAAUGGUAAAAAGUUAGGCUUUCUGCCUUAAUUCACGCUUUUACUUUCCAAAUUUGUUAAGAAUUGGUGGGUUUGGUGAAACAAAUGAUGGCUAUAUGUAUUUUCGUUUAUUAAUUAAAAUUUGUGUAUAAAGCUGUGGGAUUGUAGUCUUAUUUUGUUUUUUGUGUUUGGCGAUUUUUUUAUAUGGUGAAGAUUUAUCUACGGAUGGUAAAU
Molecule: unclassified non-coding RNA, 401 nt
Filed under: Hevea brasiliensis (rubber tree)
Lineage: Eukaryota; Viridiplantae; Streptophyta; Magnoliopsida; Malpighiales; Euphorbiaceae
Source: RNAcentral